RNAcentral lists this ribosomal RNA (274 nucleotides) under uncultured bacterium. RNAcentral describes it as "partial 16S ribosomal RNA". It matches the Rfam family "Bacterial small subunit ribosomal RNA", at positions 523 to 796 of the family's 1533-position model. The record is from RNAcentral.
AUACGGAGAGUGCAAGCGUUAUUCGGAAUCACUGGGCGUAAAGGACGCGUAGGCGGGUUGGCAAGUCAGAUGUGAAAUCCUACAGCUUAACUGUAGAACUGCAUUUGAAACUGCUAACCUAGAGUAUGGGAGGGGGAGAUGGAAUUAGUGGUGUAGGGGUAAAAUCCGUAGAUAUCACUAGGAAUACCGAAAGCGAAGGCGAUCUCCUGGAACAUAACUGACGCUAAGGCGUGAAAGCGUGGGGAGCAAACAGGAUUAGAUACCCUAGUAGUCC